AUUGAACGCUGGCGGCACGCCUAACACAUGCAAGUCGAGCGGUAACACAGUGUGUAGCAAUACACAUGGGUGACGAGCGGCGGACGGGUGAGGAACACGUAGGAACCUGCCCUUUAGCGGGGGACAACCAAGGGAAACUUUGGCUAAUACCGCGUAAACUCGAGAGAGUAAAGCUGCCCGCAAGGGUGGCGCUAAAGGAGGGGCCUGCGUCCGAUUAGUUAGUUGGUAAGGUAAUGGCUUACCAAGGCGAUGAUCGGUAACUGGUCUUAGAGGACGACCAGUCACGCUGGGACUGAGACACGGCCCAGACUCCUACGGGAGGCAGCAGUGGGGAAUCUUGGACAAUGGGGGCAACCCUGAUCCAGCGAUGCCGCGUGAGUGAAGAAGGCCUUCGGGUCGUAAAGCUCUUUAGGUUGGGAAGAAGUUUAGUAGUUUAAGAGAUAACUAAAUUGACUGUACUGACAGAAUAAGCACCGGCAAACUCUGUGCCAGCAGCCGCGGUAA
This 504-nucleotide ribosomal RNA is filed under the name uncultured bacterium. RNAcentral describes it as "partial 16S ribosomal RNA". It matches the Rfam family "Bacterial small subunit ribosomal RNA", at positions 30 to 523 of the family's 1533-position model. The record is from RNAcentral.